RNAcentral lists this ribosomal RNA (554 nucleotides) under Penicillium oxalicum. RNAcentral's name for it is "eukaryotic LSU rRNA". The stretch from base 187 to 340 matches the Rfam family "5.8S ribosomal RNA". Lineage: Eukaryota; Fungi; Ascomycota; Eurotiomycetes; Eurotiales; Aspergillaceae. The record is from RNAcentral.
GGGCAACAAAGGCUGUUAGGUAGUCGUGUUGUCACCUCCCACCCGUGUUUAUCGUACCUUGUUGCUUCGGCGGGCCCGCCUCACGGCCGCCGGGGGGCAUCCGCCCCCGGGCCCGCGCCCGCCGAAGACACACAAACGAACUCUUGUCUGAAGAUUGCAGUCUGAGUACUUGACUAAAUCAGUUAAAACUUUCAACAACGGAUCUCUUGGUUCCGGCAUCGAUGAAGAACGCAGCGAAAUGCGAUAAGUAAUGUGAAUUGCAGAAUUCAGUGAAUCAUCGAGUCUUUGAACGCACAUUGCGCCCCCUGGUAUUCCGGGGGGCAUGCCUGUCCGAGCGUCAUUGCUGCCCUCAAGCACGGCUUGUGUGUUGGGCUCUCGCCCCCCGCUUCCGGGGGGCGGGCCCGAAAGGCAGCGGCGGCACCGCGUCCGGUCCUCGAGCGUAUGGGGCUUCGUCACCCGCUCUGUAGGCCCGGCCGGCGCCCGCCGGCGAACACCAUCAAUCUUAACCAGGUUGACCUCGGAUCAGGUAGGGAUACCCGCUGAACUUAAGCAUA